This 378-nucleotide ribosomal RNA is filed under the name uncultured eukaryote. RNAcentral describes it as "partial 18S ribosomal RNA". It matches the Rfam family "Eukaryotic small subunit ribosomal RNA", at positions 592 to 976 of the family's 1831-position model. The record is from RNAcentral.
CAAUAGCGUAUAUUUAAGUUGUUGCAGUUAAAAAGCUCGUAGUUGGAUUUCGGGUGGGACGCAGCGGUCUCGCAUUGCGUUUGUACUGCUGCAGCCCUCCUUCUUGCCGGGGGCGGCCUCUCGGACUUCACUGUCUGGGGGUCAGAAUCGGCGAUGUUACUUUGAGUAAAUUAUAGUGUUCAAAGCAAGCUUACGCUCUGAAUAUAAUAGCAUGGGAUAACACGACAGGACUCUGGCCUAUCGUGUUGGUCUAUAGGACCAGAGUAAUGAUUAAGAGGGACAGUCGGGGGCAUUCGUAUUCCGUUGUCAGAGGUGAAAUUCUUGGAUUUACGGAAGACGAACAUCUGCGAAAGCAUUUGCCAAGGAUGUUUUCAUUGA